Long non-coding RNA from Solanum tuberosum (potato), 164 nucleotides. RefSeq lists it as uncharacterized. NCBI's taxonomy places the organism in Eukaryota, Viridiplantae, Streptophyta, Magnoliopsida, Solanales, Solanaceae. The record is from RefSeq and is a predicted model, not a curated record. The transcript has 2 exons.
UCAACAUCAGCAGCCGGCGAGGAGAGCAACAACAUCUCCGGCCAACUGACCCCGACCUCGAUCCACUGCCCAUCUCCUUUAAUUGAAGGCAACUGAGGAAGCUCAACAUCUAAAAAAGUUGAUACAAGACUAUAUUGCUUCUUUCAUCAAAGUAGGAGAUAAGG